GACGAACCGUGCGAACGUUGUUCGGAAUCACUGGGCUUAAAGGGCGCGUAGGCGGGCAGCCAAGUCUGGGGUGAAAUCCUCCGGCUUAACCGGAGAAUUGCUUGAGAUACUGGUUGUCUUGAGGGAGGUAGGGGCACGCGGAACUUCCGGUGGAGCGGUGAAAUGCGUUGAUAUCGGAAGGAACGCCGGUGGCGAAAGCGGCGUGCUGGCCCUCUUCUGACGCUGAGGCGCGAAAGCCAGGGGAGCGAACGGG
RNAcentral lists this ribosomal RNA (253 nucleotides) under uncultured bacterium. Its description in RNAcentral is "partial 16S ribosomal RNA". It matches the Rfam family "Bacterial small subunit ribosomal RNA", at positions 524 to 776 of the family's 1533-position model. The record is from RNAcentral.